Molecule: transfer RNA, 70 nt
Filed under: Nyctereutes procyonoides (raccoon dog)
Lineage: Eukaryota; Metazoa; Chordata; Mammalia; Carnivora; Canidae
Also listed under: 1 other name
Rfam family: tRNA
About the family: Transfer RNA (tRNA) molecules are approximately 80 nucleotides in length. Their secondary structure includes four short double-helical elements and three loops (D, anti-codon, and T loops).
Source: Rfam by way of RNAcentral
GCCUGGGUGGCUCAGUGGUUGAGCAUCUGCCUUUGGCUCAGGGUCUUGGGAUCGAGUCCCACAUCGGGCU